Molecule: ribosomal RNA, 504 nt
Filed under: uncultured bacterium
Lineage: Bacteria
Description: partial 16S ribosomal RNA
Rfam family: Bacterial small subunit ribosomal RNA
Source: RNAcentral
GAUGAACGCUGGCGGCAGGCCUAACACAUGCAAGUCGAGCGGUAAUACAGGGAGCUUGCUCCUGGGUGACGAGCGGCGGACGGGUGAGUAAUGUCUGGGAAACUGCCUGAUGGAGGGGGAUAACUACUGGAAACGGUAGCUAAUACCGCAUAACGUCGCAAGACCAAAGAGGGGGACCUUCGGGCCUCUUGCCAUCAGAUGUGCCCAGAUGGGAUUAGCUAGUAGGUGGGGUAACGGCUCACCUAGGCGACGAUCCCUAGCUGGUCUGAGAGGAUGACCAGCCACACGGGAACUGAGAAACGGUCCAGACUCCUACGGGAGGCAGCAGUGGGGAAUAUUGCACAAUGGGCGCAAGCCUGAUGCAGCCAUGCCGCGUGUAUGAAGAAGGCCUUCGGGUUGUAAAGUACUUUCAGCGGGGAGGAAGGCGAUAAGGUUAAUAACCUUGUCGAUUGACGUUACCCGCAGAAGAAGCACCGGCUAACUCCGUGCCAGCCGCCGCAGUAA